GACGAACGUUGGCGGCGUGCUUAAUACAUGCAAGUCAACUGAAGCAGUGGUAGCAAUAUCGCUGUGGAGGUGGCGCACGGGUGAGUAACACGUAGGUAAUCUGCCUUCAGGUCUGGCAUAACUCCGGGAAACCGGGGCUAAUAGCAGAUGAUGCAGCGGCUCGACAUCGAGACAGUUGUUAAAGCUAUGGCGCCUGAAGAUGAGCCUGCGUCUGAUUAGCUAGUUGGCGGGUUAACGGCCCACCAAGGCAACGAUCAGUAGCUGGGCUGAGAGGAUGAUCAGCCACACUGGAACGGAGACACGGUCCAGACUCCUACGGGAGGCAGAAGUAAGGAAUAUUGCUCAAUGGGAGAAAUCCUGAAGCAGCAACGCCGCGUGAGGGACGAAGGGCUUUGGCUUGUAAACCUCUGUAGUGAGAGAAAAAAAUCCCAAUCUGUGGGACAUGAUGGUAGCUCAAAAGUAAGCCCCGGCUAACUACGUG
RNAcentral lists this ribosomal RNA (481 nucleotides) under uncultured bacterium. RNAcentral's name for it is "partial 16S ribosomal RNA". It matches the Rfam family "Bacterial small subunit ribosomal RNA", at positions 28 to 507 of the family's 1533-position model. The record is from RNAcentral.